AUUGAACGCUGGCGGUAGGCCUAACACAUGCAAGUCGAACGAGUGGCGGACGGGUGAGUAAUGUCUGGGAAACUGCCUGAUGGAGGGGGAUAACUACUGGAAACGGUAGCUAAUACCGCAUACCAUCGGAUGUGCCCAGAUGGGCUUAGCUUGUUGGUGGGGUAACGGCGCACCAAGGCGACGAUCCCUAGCUGGUCUGCGAGGAUGACCAGCAACACGGGAACUGAGACACGGUCCAUACUCCUACGGGAGGCAGCAGUGGGGAAUAUUGCACAAUGGGCGCAAGCCUGAUGCAGCCAUGCCGCGUGUGUGAAGAAGGCCUUCGGGUUGUAAAGCACUUUCAGCGGGGAGGCGUUACCCGCAGAAGAAGCACCGGCUAACUCCGUGCCAGCAGCCGCGGUAAUAC
This 406-nucleotide ribosomal RNA is filed under the name uncultured bacterium. RNAcentral's name for it is "partial 16S ribosomal RNA". It matches the Rfam family "Bacterial small subunit ribosomal RNA", at positions 30 to 526 of the family's 1533-position model. The record is from RNAcentral.